UCCUCCAUUCCAGUUUACUAUAUGUCCAACAUACUUUUCACCAAAAAUUUUAUUGCCAAGCUCACUGCGGUUAUUAGGAACUUCUGGUGGACUGGUAUAAGAGAAGAAACAAAUUCUAGGAGCCUUUGCUUGAGAGCUUGGAAAGACAUUUGUACUCCAAAAAAUGAGGGCGGACUUGGUAUAAGAAAUCUCCAAGCAAUGAAUCAGAGCCUCAUUCUUAUGGCAGCAUGGAGGAUUGCUGAUCAACCAAAUGAUUUCUUACAUGCGGUACUCAAAUCCAAAUACUUCCCAGACUCUUCCAUUUGGCGCCCAAAUUCUAAUGCUCCCAAAUCAGCCUUUUAG
This 342-nucleotide ribosomal RNA is filed under the name Triticum aestivum (bread wheat). RNAcentral's name for it is "partial small subunit ribosomal RNA". The record is from RNAcentral. Lineage: Eukaryota; Viridiplantae; Streptophyta; Magnoliopsida; Poales; Poaceae.